Molecule: ribosomal RNA, 297 nt
Filed under: Cepaea nemoralis (banded wood snail)
Lineage: Eukaryota; Metazoa; Mollusca; Gastropoda; Stylommatophora; Helicidae
Description: partial 16S ribosomal RNA
Source: RNAcentral
AUGAAAGGGAUCAUGGGAGACAUCUGUCUCCACAGACAUUAGUAUGAAAUUAGUGAGUAAGUGAAAAUACUUACAGUAUGAAAAUAGACGAGAAGACCCUAGAAGCUUGUUUUUCGUUUUGUUGGGGCGACAGAAUUGCAUUAAAACCAAUUUUAUUAUAUGUGACGCAAGCUGUAAAAUUAAGCUACUCUAGGGAUAACAGCAUAAUAAUGAUUUGUUUGUGACCUCGAUGUUGGACUAGGUAGAAUAGUCUUUAGAAGAGACUAAAAAUGCUCUGUUCGAGCAGUUUAACCUACA